RNAcentral lists this long non-coding RNA (275 nucleotides) under Gossypium barbadense (sea-island cotton). RNAcentral's name for it is "long non-coding RNA (GBAR_LNC003300)". Lineage: Eukaryota; Viridiplantae; Streptophyta; Magnoliopsida; Malvales; Malvaceae. The record is from RNAcentral.
GAAACCUUCAGGCCUUUGAUAAAACACCAAACAAAUCCCAUUAAGCAAAGAUUUACUAAUCAGAACAGUAAUCGCACCUACCAAACUUACCAAAAACACAAACUGAGCACCGAAAUAGCGAUAUACGGAAGUUCAACAAUAGAUAGAAAAAUAGAACAAAAGCACCGAUGAGGAAAAAGGGGAAGAAAACGACAGAGAGCAAAAAGAAAACAAAUAACAUCAGAUUCUUUUUUUGGGAAUUUUGGAAGAGGGAGGAAUGUUUUGAAAAAAGAAAA